CCUACGGGUGGCAGCAGUGGGGGAUAUUGCACAAUGGGGGGAACCCUGAUGCAGCGACGCCGCGUGUGGGAAGACGGUCCUAUGGAUUGUAAACCACUGUCCCCAGGGACGACACUGACGGUACCUGGAGAGGAAGCUCCGGCUAACGACGUGCCAGCAGCCGCGGUAAUACGUAGGGAGCGAGCGUUGUCCGGAUUUACUGGGUGUAAAGGGAGCGUAGGCGGGGAUGCAAGUUGGGUGUCAAAACUACCGGCGCAACUGGUAUUCGCGCUCAAAACUGCAGCUCUUGAGUGAAGUAGAGGCAGGCGGAAUUCCUAGUGUAGCGGUGAAAUGCGUAGAUAUUAGGAGGAACACCAGUUGCGAAGGCGGCCUGCUGGGCUUUUACUGACGCUGAGGCUCGAAAGUGUGGGGAGCAAACAGGAUUAGAUACCCGUGUAGUC
RNAcentral lists this ribosomal RNA (440 nucleotides) under uncultured bacterium. RNAcentral describes it as "partial 16S ribosomal RNA". It matches the Rfam family "Bacterial small subunit ribosomal RNA", at positions 338 to 795 of the family's 1533-position model. The record is from RNAcentral.